Long non-coding RNA from Eubalaena glacialis (North Atlantic right whale), 356 nucleotides. RefSeq lists it as uncharacterized. NCBI's taxonomy places the organism in Eukaryota, Metazoa, Chordata, Mammalia, Artiodactyla, Balaenidae. The record is from RefSeq and is a predicted model, not a curated record. The transcript is spliced from 3 exons.
ACACGGAAAGGGAAUACUUUCUGAUUGUGUCACAGGCAGAAACAAGGCGGAGGCACAAGACGCUACCCAGAAGCCGCGUCUUGGUGCGCAUUCCCGUUCAUCCGCGAGGGCGACCCACUGCCCCUUCUGAGGACCGUGAAUAAAAAAUAUGCAUCUUUGAACUGAGGAAAUAUAUGGUGGUUUCAAUCACACAUGCCUCUUGUGGUUGAUGGGGCUGCCAAGAGCUCUGUAUUCUGAGACUGGAGCGAGUUUCAGCGAGAAGGAUCCGCGCUGCAUCUGUGGUGGCCCAGGGCUGGCCAUCUUAGUAAGACUGUGAGCUCCAUGAGAGCAGGGGUCUUGUGUGCUAUUCACCACUG